This 570-nucleotide ribosomal RNA is filed under the name Aureobasidium sp. BJ-2021d. RNAcentral's name for it is "SSU rRNA". It matches the Rfam family "Bacterial small subunit ribosomal RNA", at positions 362 to 952 of the family's 1533-position model. Lineage: Eukaryota; Fungi; Ascomycota; Dothideomycetes; Dothideales; Saccotheciaceae. The record is from RNAcentral.
UAUUAGUCAAUGGCCUAACGGCUGAACCAGCAACUUGGAGGAAUGUAAAGUAUAUGUAGAGUUAGUUUUACAUAUGCGUUUCGACUACGUCGUAUAAAGUUCUAGAUAGAAUACUGAUAAUGACAAUUUUCUAUCUAUAUGUCUUGACCAAAUCUCGUGCCAGCAGUCGCGGCAAUACGAGGAAGACUAGUGUUAUUCAUCUUUAUUAGGUUUAAAGGGUACCUAGACGGUAUAUCAAGCCCCAAGAGGGAACAGAUAUUCUAGAGUUUUAUGUGAGAGGUAUAUAUUAGUACUAUUGGUGUAGAGAUGAAAUUUUUUGAUACUAAUAGGACGGAUAAGGGCAAAAGCAAACCUCUAUGUAUAAACUGACGUUGAGGGACGAAGGCUUGGGUCGCGAAUAGGAUUAGAUACCCUAGUAGUCCAGGCAGACAAUUAUGAAUGUUAUAGACUUAGGAUUCUAAGUGUAUAAAUGAAAGUGUAAGCAUUCCACCUCAAGAGUAAUGUGGCAACGCAGGAACUGAAAUCAUUAGACCGUUUCUGAAACCAGUAGUGAAGUAUGUUAUUUAAUUC